Molecule: long non-coding RNA, 1780 nt
Organism: Felis catus (domestic cat)
Lineage: Eukaryota; Metazoa; Chordata; Mammalia; Carnivora; Felidae
Exons: 5
Source: RefSeq, a predicted model, not a curated record
CGCCACCACCUGUCCUUCCUCCGCGGUCGCCUCACCACGCUUGCGCGCCGCCUGCCCAAGGCCUCCGACGUUGCGGAGCGGGGCUCAGGGCCACCUGCACGAUCUCCGCGAGUCCCCGCAACGACCCUGCCACGAGACUGUCACCACAGUGACGGGAAGCCCACCGUGGACAAGGCAAACCAUCCCCCUUAGACAUAGGCCCGUUUGCAUGGCGAUUGAGUACGCACUCCGGAGCCAGACCGUCUGGGUUACCGUCCUGGCCUUGCCCGUCGCCGGUGGCAUAAGCCUGUGCAAGUUCCUAACCUCGCUGAGGAGCAUUUCACUCAUCUGUAAAUGGGGGGUAAUGAUGCUGGCCACCGCAUAGGAUUAUACAAGCGACGCUGGUGAAGUGCUGCAGAACCGUGCCCAGGCUGCCGUGAGUGCAUACCGUUCUCUCUAGCAGCUCCGCGAGGUGGCCAUUCCUGCUCAAGAGGGAACUUAAGCCCAAAGAAGUUCAAUGAUUCAUGCAAGAAGAAGUUAACUGGGCAACAGUCACAGCAGGCACCCUAAUUUCAAACUGAAUGAAACCUCUGGUAUUUCUCCUGAUGCCUAAAGUUUUGAGAUGUGACAAUGUUUGUAUUCCAGUAUCCUACGGUUCCAGGAAGUUCAGGUCUGAGCAGGGAUGUCCAAACACUUAAGAUCCAGAUGGUGAAAUUCCAUCCAGAUAUGAGGAGACAGUCACUAAAGGCCUGGAGACAAAUAGCAGCUACUGGCCAAUGGAAAAGGUCUCUACUCCAUGACCUUGAGCACUGGGAAAGCAAGAAGGUUUUGCUGAUGUUGCAGGCUGUCUAUUAUCAUGGUAUUUCUCAAUUUUUUUUUUUUGCCUACAUUUUUUGGUAAGAAAUAUAUAUGUAUGUAAUAUAUAACUAUAUAUAUAAUGGAAACAGAAAUUUCCUAAAUCAAUAUUUUCCCCUCCCCUUUGAAAUAUGCUUAUUUUCUCUCAUUUUCUAUUCUGCUCUAUUCUAUUUCAUUUCUAAAAUGUCGCUCAGAUGGAAAACAUAUCUGUGGUUUCCAGGGGUUAUGAACAGUAUGUCUGGCAGGAGGAGACAGUGACUAUAAAAAGGUAAUUUUGCCUUUCGUGGUGAGGGAGAGUUUUGUAUCUUGAUUAUGGUGGCAGUGAUCAUACACAUAUAUAUGUAUGACAGAAUUGCACACACACAUAAAGGUGUGCUCAUAAUAAUGGGAAAUCUGAGUAAGGCCACUAGUCUGUAGUAGGUAAAUGUACUGGGCCAGUGUCAGUUUCCUGGUUUUGAUAAGGUGCUAUAGUCAGCUAAGAUGUCUAUUGGGUGAAGCUGGGCGAUGGGUACACGGGACCCCUCUGAACUACUUUUGCAACUUCUUGCGCAUGUCUAUUUCAAAACAAAAAUGGUUUGAAUAUUACUCAAGACCCAUUAAAUUACUCAAGGUCACAAUCCGUAGUUUAAAAAUGAAACCCUGGUUCACCAAGAGUGGAUGUUGGAUCAGCAGCAACUGUGCCUACAUAAACUGAAGAGAUACAUCGGCCUGUGCAGACCUGUAUUUGAACUGGCUGGGACUCCACAACCUUAAGUCUCACUAGCCCCCACCUCAACCCCUGCCAGGGGACUGGGAAGCUAGGGGUUGCACAGAGUAGACAGACUUAUUUCAUUUUCUUUGUGUGUCAUCCUCUAAAUGUCCCUACCCUAUCCCUCCCCCAUUUUUUUUUUUAGACACUUGAUCCUGGGGCACCUGGGUGGCUCAGUCAGUUAAGAGUCAGACUUUG